UUAAAAGAUCUGAGAAAAACUUUACGGGGCGUGUCCAUUCGAAAGAAAUGGGAGAAAUGGGAAGUGUAUAAAGGAUAAAAAUAUAAAAAGAAAUUGGGAAAGAAAGAUGGUGGAAAUGAGAGCGUAGUGAAGAAGAGUGGAGUGUCGGUGAAAUUUACACUUGAAAGGUGCAGCCAAAAGUGCGAGUGUUGGUCGUCGUCAGACGUGUUUUAGAAGGAAAAAAGAAAGAAGAAAAUAGAGAGAAAAAAGAAGAAAUAGAGAAAGAAAACAGAAAAAAAAGAAAAGUAGAAAGAUUAGAAAGCCAAGAAAAAGAUUAAGUGUGCUAGGAGAAGCAGUGGAGAUUGCACCGGUGCAACGAGUUCUACGUGCCGUGCAUAAUUUUGGACAUAAGUGAGACAGAGAGAGAGAGAGGGAGAGAGACAGAGAAAGAAAGAGAGAUAAGGAUGAAAUAAAUGAGAGAAGAAGAAGAAGGAAAGUACCCUUCCCAUCUAUCGUGCUUGGAAAUCAGUAAAGAAAAGGAAGGAAGCAACAAAAGAGAAUUUUGAAAGAGGAGCCGCCACGGGCCAACUCGAGUGGGAGAAACUCUCGCAACAUGUGGUUAACGCGAAGUAACGACUCUGCGUUGUAACGUUACUGCUUAGACAGACAUAUUGUGGGCUUUAGUGCUCGCGAGAAAUAUAUAUAUAUAUAUAUAUAUGUACGUAUAUUAUAUAAAAAAUAUUUUGAAAAUCCGACAGGAAGGUUCCGACUCUACUUGACACAACUCUCUUUCAGCUUUCUCUUUUUUUUUAUUACAAAAAAAAUAUUAAUUACAUGUAGAAUUCGCGAAGAAUUAUUUCCAAGAUCAAAUUCGCGAAUCGCGAAUAUUACGUUUCAAAGCGAACGUUUAAAUAAUAUUUUCUAUGAAAGAAUAUUUUAUCGUCGGGAGUGUAUGCAUUUUGUUUUUGUUAUCGUUACGUUUUGUUUUGUUUUCGGAAAGAAUAUCUUUAAGAAAGAAGUUUAGAAGCUUAUCGUAGAGAAAAUCGAUGCGGAUGGUUCGAUGUUCGUAUUUAAAGCUUUUUUGAAUACACCCACACGUGCGUUCGAUUCGCAGCACAAGCUCCAGUCCGCAGGAGCGACGUAAAUUUCACGCGUAUUUACGUUUAUACGAUCUUGUGUUCGCGAAAGAAAGAGAGAGAGAGAGAGAGAGAGAGAGAGAGAGAGAG
Molecule: long non-coding RNA, 1205 nt
Organism: Vespula pensylvanica (western yellowjacket)
Lineage: Eukaryota; Metazoa; Arthropoda; Insecta; Hymenoptera; Vespidae
Exons: 4
Source: RefSeq, a predicted model, not a curated record